This is an RNA transcript of Elaeis guineensis (African oil palm), 1511 nucleotides long. RefSeq lists it as uncharacterized. The record is from RefSeq and is a predicted model, not a curated record. NCBI's taxonomy places the organism in Eukaryota, Viridiplantae, Streptophyta, Magnoliopsida, Arecales, Arecaceae.
AUAUCUAUUCGAUGGGCGAUGGGGCGGUACGACGAAGGGCGGAUUAAUUCGGGAACAUUCGGUUUUCGUGUCCUCCUCCUUUUAUACCAUCAGCGUGGGGGAUUCGGGAUUUUACCUCGCGCGGAAUCAAAUUCACUGCGGCUGUUCGGCGGUUUUCUUCUUCUGAUCGAGUGUAUCGGUAAUUAGGGUUGAUAAAUGGCCAGUGGAUUUGGGGAAUCGUCGGGCAGAGAGCCACAAAACUCUUCUUUUUCUGGUAGCAGCAGCAGCAGCAAUGAUGCAGGUAGCUUUGAAUGCAACAUCUGCUUUGAGUUGGCACAAGACCCAAUUGUCACCCUCUGUGGCCAUCUCUUCUGCUGGCCCUGCCUUUACAAAUGGCUCCAUGUUCAUGCCCACUCUCAAGAAUGUCCGGUGUGCAAGGCCAUUAUUGAAGAGGAAAAGCUAGUCCCUCUCUAUGGUCGAGGAAAGAACCCGACCGACCCACGAUCUAAGUCGGUCCCAGGUGUCAACAUUCCCAACCGUCCUGCUGGCCAAAGGCCUGCGACAGCCACACCACCUGAUCCGAACCAUUUUCCUCACUCAAACCCAUGGUUUAUGGGUGGAACUCCAGUGGCAAGCACUAGGUUUGGGAACUAUACGUUCUCUGCUGCAAUUGGUGGUCUGUUCCCAUUGCUGAGCUUUCAAGUUCAUGGGUUCCCAGAUGCAACUGCUUAUGGGCCUGCGGCUGGUUUCCCAUAUGGGUAUGCGAAUUCAUUUCAUGGAGGACAUGCUCAUGGGUUCCCACGACCUGCAUCUCAUGGACAGCAGGCUGAUGUUUAUCUGAAGGCACUGUUGUUUCUGGAUUUUGAACUGGGAAGGAAGAGGUUAUUGUAACAGAUAUGGUAAAGAAUUACUGACAUGUGCUUUGAGGGGUUAGGAUGCGAGAUGACUGCCACUAGGAGGAGCUCGUGAAAGAUGUGGGGGGCUGAAGGAGAGUUGUAAAGCAGCUUUUGUGGAAACCGUGAAAGGAUACAUAGAAGUUGACCAUGAUGAUGGAGGUACAAAGGGUUGAUGGCGAGUGCUUAAGCAGCUCUUUUCUGAAGUCAAGAAAGGAUAUGAAAAAACUUGGCAUCAUUGUGAAAGUGGAGUAUAACAAAGUGUAAAUUUAGAUGAUAUAGGUUGAACAAAGUAAUAAGAUCAUUAGAGAGAACAGUGAUGCAUCAAAGCCUUAUGAAUGCCUGAGGAUUCUAUCUAAAGAAGUAGAUGGUUGGAGACAUGGGCCACUUUUCUCCACCUAUCUGUUUUUGACUGUUGUAAUUGAUUGUCGUGAUUUGACAUCAUGGUCACCUAGUUACUAGAGGAAUGUGAUAUAUCUCAUUUUCAGAAGAAUAUGCUCUAGAAUAAUCUUUCUAAUUGAGGAGCAAGAAAUUGAUUACAACUUUCAUCUCUUGAGACUUGGUCGUUGAUAUGCAUUCCUGUGCGCUCUCCUCUUAAUAAGUGUUAAUGGAAACGAACUUAACGUCUGCAGUUUUGAA